UACGUAGGGGGCAAGCGUUGUCCGGAUUUAUUGGGCGUAAAGAGCGUGUAGGCGGCCAGGUAGGUCUGCUGUGAAAACUCGAGGCUCAACCUCGAGAUGUCGGCGGAAACCAUCUGGCUAGAGUCCGGAAGAGGAGAAUGGAAUUCCCGGUGUAGCGGUGAAAUGCGCAGAUAUCGGGAGGAACACCGAUUGCGAAGGCAGCUCGCUGGAACGUUACUGACGCUGAGACGCGAAAGCGUGGGGAGCAAACAGG
This 253-nucleotide ribosomal RNA is filed under the name uncultured bacterium. RNAcentral's name for it is "partial 16S ribosomal RNA". It matches the Rfam family "Bacterial small subunit ribosomal RNA", at positions 524 to 776 of the family's 1533-position model. The record is from RNAcentral.